Molecule: microRNA precursor, 78 nt
Filed under: Schistosoma mansoni
Lineage: Eukaryota; Metazoa; Platyhelminthes; Trematoda; Strigeidida; Schistosomatidae
Description: mir-3492 microRNA precursor family
Rfam family: mir-3492 microRNA precursor family
Source: Rfam by way of RNAcentral
AGCCUUCUGUGAUUGUGCUGGGAUUUCGUCACGCACCAGACCACAAGGGUUAAUAAGACUCCCAAGAUAAGUGAAGCG